AUAUAAAAACAAUAUAUUUUUGGCUUUCCUAUAUUAUUCUCAUUUUACCAUAUUCAUAAAAUUUAGAAAUUAGUUGUAAGAAUAAAUAAUACAAUUAUUGAAACGGUUAAUCAUUUGGUUUUAUCAGUUUACCUUUACAUAGUAUUCACUCGUUUACAGUAUUUAUAGUUAGAUUUACGUUUACUGUUUAUUCUUUAUCUAUAUAUUUCCCUUGAAAGUUUCUUUUUAUUCAUCAUCAUCCCUACCCUACACUAUCCACCAUAGUUUCUACUCCUAGGCGCU
RNAcentral lists this long non-coding RNA (282 nucleotides) under Brassica napus (rape). RNAcentral's name for it is "long non-coding RNA (BNAP_LNC019497)". The record is from RNAcentral. Lineage: Eukaryota; Viridiplantae; Streptophyta; Magnoliopsida; Brassicales; Brassicaceae.